UGCCAGCCGCCGCGGUAAUACGGAAGGUGCGAGCGUUAAUCGGAAUUACUGGGCGUAAAGCGCACGUAGGUGGCUUGGUAAGUCGGAUGUGAAAGCCCUGGGCUCAACCUGGGAACUGCAGUCGAAACUACAAGUCUUGAAUACCUGAGAGGUUAGUGGAAUUCCUAGUGUAGGAGUGAAAUCCGUAGAUAUUAGGAGGAACACCAGAGGCGAAGGCGACUAACUGGCAGAGUAUUGACGCUGAGGUGCGAAAGCGUGGGGAGCAAACAGGAUUAGAUA
RNAcentral lists this ribosomal RNA (279 nucleotides) under uncultured bacterium. Its description in RNAcentral is "partial 16S ribosomal RNA". It matches the Rfam family "Bacterial small subunit ribosomal RNA", at positions 506 to 784 of the family's 1533-position model. The record is from RNAcentral.